AGAUCGUUAGUUGAGCUGUGAUUGGUUGCUGUGGAAAAAUUCACUCCACUUUUUCUCUCACAGUUUGUUAAAUCUGGGCCAUAGUCUCCUUCAGAACACUGCUUCUAGGCCAGGGUAUCUCCAUACUACAGCACAGAUUUUUUCUGAUUGUCAUAACUGGAUUAGGGAAGAAAUGAGCAAUUGUCAUCCUUUUACUUUCCUAUGGAUGCAUCAUAGCAAUAUACGAAUGAAGAGAAAAACAUAUCGGCAGGUGGCUGAGACGACUGUUUAUAUAUAAAAAAAUUUCCCCUUUCGCAUUAGUGCACCCCAUUGCUAGACUAGAGAGGAUAUCCGGUGUCCACAGAAGCAAUCAGUCAGAUUCCAGACUCUCCACCAAGGCCAAGACCAAAGAGCUGCCUAAGGAUGUCAGGGACAAAAUUGUAGAACUACACAUGGCUGAAAUGAACUACAUGACCAUCACAAUGCCACUAGGCACUCCAUGCAAGAUCUCAACUCAUGGAGUUCCAAUGAUCAUAAGAAUGGUGAGGAAUCAGCCCAGAACUAGCCAGGAAUAUCUUGUCAAUAAUCUCAAGCCAGCUGGGAUCAUAGUCACCAAGAAAACAAUGGGUAACACACUACUGAAAUCCUACAGUGCCCACAAGGUCUUACUGGUCAAGAAAGCACACCCUCACGCCUGUCUAAAGUGUGGCAAUAAAAAUAAAAAAAAAUU
Long non-coding RNA from Hyla sarda, 709 nucleotides. RefSeq lists it as uncharacterized. The record is from RefSeq and is a predicted model, not a curated record. NCBI's taxonomy places the organism in Eukaryota, Metazoa, Chordata, Amphibia, Anura, Hylidae. The transcript is spliced from 4 exons.